UCUUUACGCAAUUGCCGCCCCAACUCUGUUCCACUGAGCAGAGCAAGAGAGAAAGGUUGCGAUUUCAGCUUUCUCCGGUCUCUCCGCUUUUCACCGAUGAGCAGAGCAGGAGAGUAGAGGGCUGAACCGAGCAGAAACAGAUCUCUUCCCUUCUUGCAGAAGAAGGAAGAGACAACCCCUCUUCUUGUUCGCGUAAGAGGAAGGACGAGAGCAGAGAGUGCGACCUCCCUCCUCCGGUCGAUCUCGCAGGUCUGCAGCAGUCGCCCCUUUACCCGAAGCUCGCCGCCGCCGACGUCCAGCGGUGAAGAGCGCCGACCGCUGGAAGUAGCAGCCACCGAUCGCCAACAGCUUUCAGAUCUGCUGGCCGCGAGCCUUCACCCUCCUCUGUUUCUCGAGAGGAAAGAGGAGCAGUGCCGCCGCCUCUUCCUUCCUCUUCCUCCUUCGCCGAUCUCUUAUCCUUCUCUACUCCACUCCUUUUCCGAUCUUGCUGGCCAAUCGCGCCUGUGCUCCAGCCGUCACAGAAGCGUGCGGAGAAGAUGCCCCCUGCGGUGCCUCCACUUAGAAGAGGAAGAAGGAGACCCCUCCUCUGUUCGCGCAAGAUGAACAGAGCAGAUCUCCCUCCUUCGAUCUCGCGCAAGAGGAACAGAAUUCUCCUUCCCGUUCUUGUUUCAAUUUCAAGAUCCGAUCUGCCCCAAUCUCUUGUUUCAGCAAUAGGAGAGCAGAUCUGUUCUACAAGAAGAAGAAAAAAAGAGCGAUCCUCUCUCCGGUCGCCUUGUGCUCCAGCCCGACCACGACAAACCUCUAUUCACGUAAGAGGAAGAAGAAAAACAGAGGAUACGAUCUCCGAUCAACCUAUGCCACUUUCCUCGUCGUCGCUUUAGUUUAAACUUCGACAUCAAUUGAUUUUCAUCAUAAAAAAAAAAAAAAUUAUUGAA
Molecule: long non-coding RNA, 935 nt
Organism: Musa acuminata AAA Group (dessert banana)
Lineage: Eukaryota; Viridiplantae; Streptophyta; Magnoliopsida; Zingiberales; Musaceae
Exons: 2
Source: RefSeq, a predicted model, not a curated record